AUACGGAGGAUGCAAGCGUUAUCCGGAUUUAUUGGGUUUAAAGGGUGCGUAGGCGGUUUGCUAAGCGGGAGGUGAAAUGCCGGCGCUCAACGUCGGAAGUGCCUCCCGAACUGGUGGACUUGAAUGACUCUGCCGUGGGAGGAAUGUGUAGUGUAGCGGUGAAAUGCUUAGAGAUUACACAGAACACCGAUUGCGAAGGCAUCUCACGAAGGAUUGAUUGACGCUGAGGCACGAAAGCGUGGGGAUCAAACAGGAUUAGAUACCCUGGUAGUCCACGCAGUAAACGAUGAUGGCUAACCGCUGGGCUUAUCAGUUCAGUGGCCAAGCGAAAGCGAUAAGCCAUCCACCUGGGGAGUACGACCGCAAGGUUGAAACUCAAAGGAAUUGACGGGG
This 393-nucleotide ribosomal RNA is filed under the name uncultured bacterium. RNAcentral's name for it is "partial 16S ribosomal RNA". It matches the Rfam family "Bacterial small subunit ribosomal RNA", at positions 523 to 918 of the family's 1533-position model. The record is from RNAcentral.